GAUGAACGCUGGCGGCGUGCCUAAUACAUGCAAGUCGAGCGAACAGACGAGGAGCUUGCUCCUCUGACGUUAGCGGCGGACGGGUGAGUAACACGUGGAUAACCUACCUAUAAGACUGGGAUAACUUCGGGAAACCGGAGCUAAUACCGGAUAAUAUAUUGAACCGCAUGGUUCAGUAGUGAAAGACGGUUUUGCUGUCACUUAUAGAUGGAUCCGCGCCGCAUUAGCUAGUUGGUAAGGUAACGGCUUACCAAGGCAACGAUGCGUAGCCGACCUGAGAGGAUGAUCGGCCACACUGGAACUGAGACACGGUCCAGACUCCUACGGGAGGCAGCAGUGGGGAAUAUUGCGCAAUGGGCGAAAGCCUGACGGAGCAACGCCGCGUGAGUGAUGAAGGUCUUCGGAUCGUAAAGCUCUGUUAUUAGGGAAGAAAAGAUGUGUAAGUAACUAUGCACGUCUUGACGGUACCUAAACAGAAAGCAACGGCUAACUACGUG
This 497-nucleotide ribosomal RNA is filed under the name uncultured bacterium. Its description in RNAcentral is "partial 16S ribosomal RNA". It matches the Rfam family "Bacterial small subunit ribosomal RNA", at positions 28 to 507 of the family's 1533-position model. The record is from RNAcentral.